Molecule: unclassified non-coding RNA, 487 nt
Filed under: Hevea brasiliensis (rubber tree)
Lineage: Eukaryota; Viridiplantae; Streptophyta; Magnoliopsida; Malpighiales; Euphorbiaceae
Source: RNAcentral
UGUGAUUAGGGUUCCUAAACAAUGGAAUCUUUACAACGCAGAGUUGAAUCAUGGAUCAGAGGCCAAAAAUCGAAGAUGUUGAAAAUCACUUGGCCACAGCAAUGGAAGAUGGUUGUCCGGUGGCCUUGGGCCGAUGCAAGAGAGCAGAGGAAACUGAUGGAGGAUGAAUUCAAGCGGAGGAAGAAGCAACUUGAGGAUCUCUGUCACGCUGUUAAAGCUGAAUCUGUCGCUGACUUGCACGAUAUCCUUUGUUGCAUGGUGCUUUCUGAAUGUGUAUAUAAGAGACCUGAUGCUGAAAUGGUGCGGGCAGUGAACAAAUUUAAGGCAGACUUUGGAGGAGAAGUUGUUUCCUUAGAGCGCGUUCAACCUUCUUCAGAUCAUGUUCCACACAGGUAUCUUUUGGCGGAAGCAGGAGAUACAUUAUUUGCUUCCUUUAUUGGGACCAAACAAUAUAAGGAUGUCAUGGCUGAUGUGAAUAUAUUUCAAG